CGGAAGCUUGGAUGGGUGGGGUUAUGGAUACACAAGUGAUAAGUGAACUGAGUGCUGGGAUUUCAGGCAUGUGCACAUACUGAGUAACUGUUUAAUCACUGCCGCAUACAUGAAGACCUUUGAAAGUAAGACGUGGGUUGAAGGCUGCCCCGAAUGACUGUGCGUCCAUGUUUCUGUCAUGGGACCAUGCUGGACUUGUUCUUUGUGUCCUGUGGAGCAAAUGCUGAGCCCAGUCACCCACCACCAGCAGCAAGGAACACAAAGGAAAGUCUUAAUGUAAUUAGAAAGCUGUGUGUCAGCACACAGUGGGGUGGGGCGUUUGCCAGCUAUGCCAAGGACUGGAGAGGGUGGGGACCUGAGACUCUAGGUCCUUCUUAGGAGUCUACCUGAGAAGAAUUCAGUGGAAAAGGUCCCACCAAGGAGAUGAUCAGGGUUCAGGAUUGGCUGUGCUUGAGGAGCCUGGAGGACAUUUCCUGAGGAAGAAGAACCCCUGGGCCAAUGACGGCCUCAGGGUCCCUGAGCCUGUGUGACAUCUAGUUCUGAUGUCUAAGCCCUGAUCCCUCAUCUGUGCUUCUGCUGGUUUAAUCUCCCGAAUUUAUUGUAUGUCAAGAUGUCUUCAGUGAAGAAGCUCAUCAGUCUUCCAUGCACAGAGCCCACUGCAGUGAACAUCCCUGUAUACAGGGGAGGGUCUGAAGCCUAUAGAGGCUGGGAAGACAGGCAUGUCCCCUCCUGUGGCUCUGGUAAGUCUCUCCUGGGCCAGCCCUCCAGCUACCUGACCCAUCUGGUUUUUGAGGGCCAGUAGGUAAGGUGCAGAUAGGGAAGGGAAGAGAUGAGAUGUGGUGUUAUCAGAGGAUUGUUGGCUUCAGCGGCCCAGAGGUACAAGGGUCCAUCUGGCAGAAGCUACAGUAGCUAGAGCCAGCCUGGCAGCGACUAGCCUAAAUAAGGUCAGGGCUCUCUGAAAAGCCAUGUUGGUCUUGCCAAUUCUAAGUCCCAUGACCAGGUCUGCUGGGCAUGCCCAGGAAGAGACUGGCUGUGGGUAGUAGGGGUAGCCACUCCAGAGGAUGGGGCCAGAUGGGGCUCUACAUAUGCCUGUGGCAGGUGCAGAGAUGGAUUAGCAAUGGGCACCGAAUGCCAGACAGGCACCGAGUUAUGUCGGGAUUGGGGUUUACCGGGGGUUAACACUCGUUGCUGUUGGCCGUUUAGUGAACAAUGCCUGCUCCCGACUGGCCCACGGGAUUUGAAGAGCUAAGCUGGACCUGUGAGCUGAGCUUCCUUCCAGCUCCCUUUUACCAUCCCCGAACAACUCGUCUGUGAAGCCUUGAAGUUCAGGCAAGAGAACUUGAAGAACCACCUUGCCUCAGCUGCUACAUCUCCUGUCAGCACAAGUGUCACAUCUGUCCCCACCAUGCUGGCCUGUCUGCAUCCCCCUGGAUCCUCAUGGCAUCUCUGGUCUGGGCCUGGGUGAUGUCAACCUUCCUUGUUUCUAUGCAUCCUUCCUGAGAUGAAGGCUCUACUCUGAAAGUAAAGGCUAUGGGACAGUCUCUGUAGGGUGAAUGGAAAUGGCCACCACAGGGGCUGGUUGAAGGCUUGUGGCACUAUGGAGGUGACCUUCCUUCUGGUUUGGUAGGGGACCUUCAACAGAGAUCUUCACUUUGUCAUGGGUGCUUUGGGGCUGGAGUCAAGCUGGCUCCUCUGGGUCCCAAGAUAAGUCCUGGCCUACACAAGGGAGCUUCUCUGUAGCAUUUGAUGACACUUCCAAAGAGAAUCAAUUUUCCAUCAUCACAAAUAAAGAAACCUGAGCCCCAGGCUCACCCAUCUUGACUGCC
Mus musculus (house mouse) is the source of this 1826-nucleotide long non-coding RNA. RefSeq annotates it as RIKEN cDNA 2310015A16 gene. The record is from RefSeq and is a predicted model, not a curated record. The transcript is spliced from 2 exons. NCBI's taxonomy places the organism in Eukaryota, Metazoa, Chordata, Mammalia, Rodentia, Muridae.